UGGGGAAUAUUGCACAAUGGGGGAAACCCUGAUGCAGCGACGCCGCGUGAAGGAAGAAGUAUUUCGGUAUGUAAAGCUCUAUCAGCAGGGAAGAUAAUGACGGUACCUGUACU
This 113-nucleotide ribosomal RNA is filed under the name uncultured bacterium. RNAcentral describes it as "partial 16S rRNA". It matches the Rfam family "Bacterial small subunit ribosomal RNA", at positions 355 to 485 of the family's 1533-position model. The record is from RNAcentral.